UCCUCAGGCAAGUCGAACGGGAAUUACUUUAUUGAACCUUCGGGGGAUUUAAUUUAAUUCUAGGGGCGGACGGGUGACCAACGCGGGGGUAACCUGCCUUAUACAGGGGGAUAACAGUCAAAAAGGGCUGCUAAUACCGCAUAAGCGCACAGAGCUGCAUGGCUCAGUGUGAAAAACUCCGGGGGUAUAAGAUGGACCCGCGUUGGAUUAGCUGGUGGGGGGGGUAACGGCCCACCAAGGCGACAAUCCAUAGCCGGCCUGAGAGGGUGAACGGCCACAUUGGGACUGAGACACGGCCCAAACUCCUACGGGAGGCAGCAGGGGGGAAUAUUGCACAAGGGGGGAAACCCUGAUGCACCGACCCCGCGUGAAGGAAGAAGUAUCUCGGUAUGUAAACUUCUAUCAGCAGGAAAAAAAAUGACGGUACCUGACUAAAAAGCCCCGGCUAACUACGUG
This 456-nucleotide ribosomal RNA is filed under the name uncultured bacterium. RNAcentral's name for it is "partial 16S ribosomal RNA". It matches the Rfam family "Bacterial small subunit ribosomal RNA", at positions 50 to 507 of the family's 1533-position model. The record is from RNAcentral.